GAUGAACGCUGGCGGCGUGCUUAACACAUGCAAGUCGAACGAAGCACUUUACUUGAUCUUUUCGGAGUGAUUGUUUUGUGACUGAGUGGCGGACGGGUGAGUAACGCGUGGGUAACCUGCCUCACACAGGGGGAUAACAGUUGGAAACGGCUGCUAAUACCGCAUAAGCGCACAGUACCGCAUGGUACGGUGUGAAAAACUCCGGUGGUGUGAGAUGGACCCGCGUCUGAUUAGCUAGUUGGCAGGGCAGCGGCCUACCAAGGCGACGAUCAGUAGGCGACCUGAGGGGGUGACCGGCCAUAUUGGGACUGAGACACGGCCCAAACUCCUACAGGAGGCAGCAGUGGGGAAUAUUGCACAAUGGGGGAAACCCUGAUGCAGCGACGCCGCGUGAGCGAAGAAGUAUUUCGGUAUGUAAAGCUCUAUCAGCAGGGAAGAAGAAAUGACGGUACCUGACUAAGAAGCACCGGCUAAAUACGUGCCAGCAGCCGCCGUAA
This 497-nucleotide ribosomal RNA is filed under the name uncultured bacterium. RNAcentral's name for it is "partial 16S ribosomal RNA". It matches the Rfam family "Bacterial small subunit ribosomal RNA", at positions 28 to 523 of the family's 1533-position model. The record is from RNAcentral.